RNAcentral lists this unclassified non-coding RNA (225 nucleotides) under Hevea brasiliensis (rubber tree). The record is from RNAcentral. Lineage: Eukaryota; Viridiplantae; Streptophyta; Magnoliopsida; Malpighiales; Euphorbiaceae.
AAUUCUGAUAUGGAUUUCAAAGGGAAUGACUUUGAGUACUUACCCUUUGGUGCAGGACGAAGAAUAUGCCCAGCCCUGCCAAUGGCUGCAAUAGAAAUUCCGUUAGUCCUUGCUUUACUUGUUCGUUUCUUUGAUUGGGAACUUCCUCAUGGAAAAUGUCCUGUUGAGCUAGACAUGACUGAACAGUUUGGAGUAACACUACAAAAGAAAGAACCGCUGCUUCUG